AUUGAACGCUGGCGGCAUGCUUUACACAUGCAAGUCGAACGGCAGCGCGGGCUUCGGCCUGGCGGCGAGUGGCGAACGGGUGAGUAAUACAUCGGAACGUGCCCAGUAGUGGGGGAUAGCUCGGCGAAAGCCGGAUUAAUACCGCAUACGACCUGAGGGUGAAAGCGGGGGAUCUUCGGACCUCGCGCUAUUGGAGCGGCCGAUGGCAGAUUAGCUAGUUGGUGGGGUAAAGGCCUACCAAGGCGACGAUCUGUAGCUGGUCUGAGAGGACGACCAGCCACACUGGGACUGAGACACGGCCCAGACUCCUACGGGAGGCAGCAGCGGGGAAUUUUGGACAAUGGGCGAAAGCCUGAUCCAGCAAUGCCGCGUGUGUGAUGAAGGCCUUCGGGUUGUAAAGCACUUUUGGCGGGAACGAAAAGGACUGUGCCAAGACCACGGUUCGAUGACGGUACCCGCAGAAGAAGCACCGGCUAACUACGU
Molecule: ribosomal RNA, 483 nt
Filed under: uncultured bacterium
Lineage: Bacteria
Description: partial 16S ribosomal RNA
Rfam family: Bacterial small subunit ribosomal RNA
Source: RNAcentral